Molecule: long non-coding RNA, 890 nt
Filed under: Rhinopithecus bieti (black snub-nosed monkey)
Lineage: Eukaryota; Metazoa; Chordata; Mammalia; Primates; Cercopithecidae
Description: lncRNA (ENSRBIG00000045225.1)
Source: RNAcentral
AAAAAAAAAAUACACCAAAUUAUUCUGGGUGGUAUUGAAAACUGCUUUGGGCUUGUUUGUUUACAUUGGAUGCUUAGCUUUCUUUUCAUGGGAACAGUGGGGAAAAGAAAGCACUGGUACCCCCAGCAGCCUCACCUGUCUGUUUCCCUCUGCCUCAGCUUCGUGAUGGUCAACAGCGUGGCGCUGAACGGGGACGGCUGUGGCAUCUGCUCUGAAGCAGAAGCAGAGCUCAUUGAAGUUUCUCACAGACUGAACUGCUCCCGCGAGGCACGUGGCUCCCGCCGGUGUGGACCUGGGCCUCUGCUGCCCAUGUCUGACCCCGUCCUCCUGCAGGUGAGCUGGGGGAGGAAGGGGCUCAUGGCGGACAGCAGGCAGCCUGCAGUUUCACGACAGCCACCUGAACUCCUCUCUCCACCCCGGACAGCAUUAUCCUCUGUAUCGGAGAAGUGAUGCUAACUGUUCUGGGGACGAUGCUGCUCCUCCGGAGGAAAGGGACAUCCCAUUUAAGGAGAACUAUGACGUGCUUUCACGGGAGGCAUCACAAAAGGUUUGCCAGGGUGUCAUGAUGCUAAUUCAUGUCGCAUUGUGACUCUCAUCACCUUGCAUGUCAGCAAGCAGAGCGCCCAGGCUAGAGCAGGUGUUUGCUGAAACGUUGAUGACUUAGUUAUCACCUGGGGACGGGGUGGAUGGAGGCCUGGCCUUCACAGCACCAUCAGUUAAUUGCUUUCUUUUUUUUUUUUCCAGUAAACCUACUUCUAUUUCCUACCCUGAAGUCAAUAAUAGUCUUAGCUAUUCUUUGUAUUCAGAGUUUUUUACCAACUUGAAUGUGUUUAGAAAUGUGAAUGGAACUUGGAAGAAUCAAAAUUUUAGGGACUUAAUUAAAAUUAAUG